This 660-nucleotide ribosomal RNA is filed under the name uncultured bacterium. RNAcentral's name for it is "bacterial SSU rRNA". It matches the Rfam family "Bacterial small subunit ribosomal RNA", at positions 33 to 688 of the family's 1533-position model. The record is from RNAcentral.
ACGCUGGCGGCAGGCCUAACACAUGCAAGUCGAGCGGUAGAGAGAAGCUUGCUUCUCUUGAGAGCGGCGGACGGGUGAGUGAUGCCUAGGAAUCUGCCUGGUAGUGGGGGAUAACGUCCGGAAACGGACGCUAAUACCGCAUACGUCCUACGGGAGAAAGCAGGGGACCUUCGGGCCUUGCGCUAUCAGAUGAGCCUAGGUCGGAUUAGCUAGUUGGUGGGGUAAUGGCUCACCAAGGCGACGAUCCGUAACUGGUCUGAGAGGAUGAUCAGUCACACUGGAACUGAGACACGGUCCAGACUCCUACGGGAGGCAGCAGUGGGGAAUAUUGGACAAUGGGCGAAAGCCUGAUCCAGCCAUGCCGCGUGUGUGAAGAAGGUCUUCGGAUUGUAAAGCACUUUAAGUUGGGAGGAAGGGCAGUUACCUAAUACGUGAUUGUUUUGACGUUACCGACAGAAUAAGCACCGGCUAACUCUGUGCCAGCAGCCGCGGUAAUACAGAGGGUGCAAGCGUUAAUCGGAAUUACUGGGCGUAAAGCGCGCGUAGGUGGUUCGUUAAGUUGGAUGUGAAAUCCCCGGGCUCAACCUGGGAACUGCAUUCAAAACUGACGAGCUAGAGUAUGGUAGAGGGUGGUGGAAUUUCCUGUGUAGCGGUGAAAUG